GAAAUGCGAUAAGUAGUGUGAAUUGCAGAAUUCAGUGAAUCAUCAAAUCUUUGAACGCACAUUGCGCCCUUUGGUAUUCCUUAGGGCAUGCCUGUUUGAGCGUCAUUUAAACCUUCAAGCUCUGCUUAGUGUUGGGCAUGUCACGCCCCCCUCCACAGGGGCGUGCGCCUUAAAUAUAUUAGCGGCUAGUACGUUGGCUUCGAGCGCAGCAGAAACGCGAACUCAGGGACUCUAGAUCAGCCCUCCACAAGCUAUUUUACCAUUUUGACCUUGGAUCAGGUAGGGAUACCUGCUGAACUUAA
This 302-nucleotide unclassified non-coding RNA is filed under the name uncultured Preussia. RNAcentral describes it as "sequence contains ITS1". The stretch from base 1 to 105 matches the Rfam family "5.8S ribosomal RNA", at positions 50 to 154 of the family's 154-position model. Lineage: Eukaryota; Fungi; Ascomycota; Dothideomycetes; Pleosporales; Sporormiaceae. The record is from RNAcentral.